This 71-nucleotide transfer RNA is filed under the name Loxodonta africana (African savanna elephant). It matches the Rfam family "tRNA". From Rfam's summary of the family: Transfer RNA (tRNA) molecules are approximately 80 nucleotides in length. Their secondary structure includes four short double-helical elements and three loops (D, anti-codon, and T loops). The record is from Rfam by way of RNAcentral. Lineage: Eukaryota; Metazoa; Chordata; Mammalia; Proboscidea; Elephantidae.
GCAGGGGUGGUUCAGCGGUAGAAUUCUCACCUUCCGUGCGGGAGGCCCAGGUUUGAUUCCUGGCCAAUGCU